This 212-nucleotide ribosomal RNA is filed under the name uncultured bacterium. Its description in RNAcentral is "partial 16S ribosomal RNA". It matches the Rfam family "Bacterial small subunit ribosomal RNA", at positions 1289 to 1500 of the family's 1533-position model. The record is from RNAcentral.
CAGUUCGGAUCGCAGGCUGCAACCCGCCUGCGUGAAGUCGGAAUCGCUAGUAAUCGCGGAUCAGCAUGCCGCGGUGAAUACGUUCCCGGGCCUUGUACACACCGCCCGUCACACCAUGAGAGUCGGGAACACCCGAAGUCCGUAGCCUAACCGAAAGGGGGGCGCGGCCGAAGGUGGGUUCGAUAAUUGGGGUGAAGUCGUAACAAGGUACC